AUCCAACUGACGAGUCCCGAAUAGGACGAAACGCGUGUCUUGGAU
RNAcentral lists this non-coding RNA (45 nucleotides) under Schistosoma curassoni. Lineage: Eukaryota; Metazoa; Platyhelminthes; Trematoda; Strigeidida; Schistosomatidae. The record is from RNAcentral.